Molecule: unclassified non-coding RNA, 183 nt
Filed under: uncultured Ascobolaceae
Lineage: Eukaryota; Fungi; Ascomycota; Pezizomycetes; Pezizales; Ascobolaceae
Description: sequence contains ITS1
Source: RNAcentral
AUAAACUCACUGAGGGGACUAAAAUUCCCUUAGUGUAGUAUAAUAAUAUCACCUGUUUACCAUUACCAGUGUUGCUUCCGUGGAAUAUGGGUGCUCUGUCUGUUCGCAGCUUGGAGUUACCUUCCACGGGUGUCUAAAAAAAUUGUCUUUGCUGAAUUGUCUGAAAAAAAAUUAAUAAAGUUA